This 253-nucleotide ribosomal RNA is filed under the name uncultured bacterium. RNAcentral's name for it is "partial 16S ribosomal RNA". It matches the Rfam family "Bacterial small subunit ribosomal RNA", at positions 524 to 776 of the family's 1533-position model. The record is from RNAcentral.
UACAGAGGUCUCAAGCGUUGUUCGGAUUCAUCGGGCGUAAAGGGUGUGUAGGUGGCGCGCUAAGUCGGGUGUGAAAUUUCGGAGCUUAACUCCGAAACUGCAUUCGAUACUGGCGUGCUUGAGGACUGGAGAGGAGACUGGAAUUCAUGGUGUAGCAGUGAAAUGCGUAGAGAUCAUGAGGAAGACCAGUGGCGAAGGCGGGUCUCUGGACAGUUCCUGACACUUAGACACGAAGGCCAGGGGAGCAAACGGG